This 818-nucleotide long non-coding RNA is filed under the name Rattus norvegicus (Norway rat). Its description in RNAcentral is "long non-coding RNA NONRATT006691". The record is from RNAcentral. Lineage: Eukaryota; Metazoa; Chordata; Mammalia; Rodentia; Muridae.
AUUAAUUCCAACUUUACUUAUUGAUGGGAAAACAAGGAAAGUGGUUAAUUCUCACUCAUUCACACACCUCUUCAUUGUGAAGUGGAAGUGAGAGGUACUGAGUUUCCUUUUGGCAUUGGUAUUCCAAAAGAAGGACCAUUCCCAUUAAUUUAUUGUCUAGUACCUGCAGUACCUUGCUCUAAAUGAAUCGCCCAGGAAGUCAUUGGUAAUGAAGUGGUUUUAUCAGUUUCAAGCAGAAUUUCACUGUUCCUCAGACCAAGUGCAACAUUUACAUUUAGAAAGGCCAAUUUCGAUUUCAUAUCUAACAUGUGUAUAUGUGUAUAUACAUAUAUACAUAUAUAUGAUCUCUGUACACAUGAAUUUUAUGUGUCUAUAUAUAGAGAGAAGUAUCCACAAAUUGCAUGUAUGUGUGUAUAUCCACCUGCCUGUAAAUUAUCUAUGUGUAUUAUUUUGGGCUAUGCAUAAUCACGCACAUAACAUCUUUCAAUAGCCAUUGGCAAAAUAUUAAAAGCCAGUAGAACUAUUGUUCAGUCUUUAAAUUAUGUUAACAGUGUUAUGGUUUUGUGUUGAUGUUUUCAUUUCAUUUCUGUUCCAUUGGUGAAUUUCUGUCUCUCUGUGUAUAGCUGUCUUAGUUCUUGCCUCCCCUAAAUUAAUACGUGUGACUUCAUGCUUGAUCUGGGUUGCAGGGGAAUCUCGUGUCUGUGAACUUCCCAACGGCCGUCAUCUGAUAUUGCUUGACUUUCUCCUUUAUUCCCUGAAGACACAUUCAGAAUCAAAGUUAUAUAAAGCUAUGUGGACCGUUGAAGAAAAACAGAUGU